Molecule: unclassified non-coding RNA, 865 nt
Filed under: Hevea brasiliensis (rubber tree)
Lineage: Eukaryota; Viridiplantae; Streptophyta; Magnoliopsida; Malpighiales; Euphorbiaceae
Source: RNAcentral
UGCUGUGACAACUAUAAGGAAAACUUCUGCAACCUACCGGAUUAUUUCAAACGCUAUUGCGGUACUGUUACGUCGUUUUUUCAUAGCCUCUUAAAUUUGAUAGUCAAAUAUUGAUAUUCGCAUCAAUUUAGAUUGUGUUUUGAGGUUGUGAUAUUGCAAUUUAGAAUCUUAAUAGUUUUUAAGGCUUAUUUGAUUUAACAAAUAACGGUUAGAAGCCUGCUAUUAUUGAUUAGUGGCUAACGGCUAUAGCUAACUGCUUACAAUCAAUGAUCAUAAUUAAUUAUCAAAUAUUUUAGCAUAAAUUAAAUUAUUUAAAUUUUUUUACAUGUUAGUCUAUCAUUCUAAAUACUAUAUAUAAAUUUUAAUGUUUGAAAUCAAAUUAGUAUAUAAAUAUAUUUUGAAUCAUUAUUGGUUAAAUAUUGAAUCAAUUUUUAAAAAAAUUAUCAUUUACAAAAUACUUUAAAUUGAACGAAUACAACUUUAGUCAAUAUCAAAUAAAAAAAAUAAAAAGAAACACAUAUGAUUCUUAAAAAUGAAAAAUAAAAAAUAUAAAUAUAAAUGAAAAAAAAAACUGUAAUUGCUGGGAGAAGGGCACGAAAGAGGAGUUUGGUGAAUGAAGGAAAAAGGGGAAAAAUUAAUACUCCGCAUGCUACAUUUUUUCUCUCUCUUAUAUUUCCUUUUUUUAUUUAUUUUUUAUUUAUUGAUAAUAUUUACUCAGUUAAUUACUGGAUACUAAUUGAUAUUUCUCUUCCUUAACGUAGGUAACAUAGAGAAAGUCAUUAAAUACGACGCAUCGAGUGAGGAAUUGUUUUACGUUAUUACUCUGCUACCCUUUCAAUACAAUAUGUUUAGUCUUGAGGGUUCA